This 408-nucleotide ribosomal RNA is filed under the name uncultured bacterium. RNAcentral's name for it is "partial 16S ribosomal RNA". It matches the Rfam family "Bacterial small subunit ribosomal RNA", at positions 29 to 526 of the family's 1533-position model. The record is from RNAcentral.
AGUGAACGCUGGCGGCGUGCCUAAUACAUGCAAGUCGAACGGAGUGGCGCACGGGUGAGUAAUAUAUAGCUAAUCUGCCCCUUGCUGGGGGACAACAGUUAGAAAUGAGUGCUAAUACUCCAUAGCAAUGGAUGAGACUAUCUCGUAUCAGCUAGUCGGGGGGGUAACGGCCUACCGAGGCUAUGACGCGUAACUGGGCUGAGAGGAUGAUGAGUCACAGCGUAACUGAGACACGGGCCAAGCAGCUACGGGAAGCAGCAGUAGGGAGAAUUGCUCAUGGGGCGAAGCCGUGAGGGAGCAACGGGGUGUGGAGUAUGACACUUUUCGGAGCAUAAACUCCUUUUGUUAGGUAGGCGGUACCUGACGAAUAAGCACCGGCUAACUACGUGCCAGCAGCCGCGGUAAUAC